CGCACAUUGCGCCCCUUGGUAUUCCGGGGGGCAUGCCUGUUCGAGCGUCAUUUCAACCCUCAAGCUCUGCUUGGUAUUGGGCCUCGCCGGUAACGACGGGCCUCAAACGUAGUGGCGGUGCCAUCGUGUCCCUCAGCGUAGUAAUUUCUUCUCGCUGUUUGGGUUCCGUUGGUCGCUGGCCAACAACCUCAAUUUUUCUAUGGUUGACCUCGGAUCAGGUAGGGAUACCCGCUGAACUUAA
Molecule: unclassified non-coding RNA, 241 nt
Filed under: Chalara pseudoaffinis
Lineage: Eukaryota; Fungi; Ascomycota; Leotiomycetes; Helotiales
Description: partial contains 5.8S ribosomal RNA, internal transcribed spacer 2, and large subunit ribosomal RNA
Source: RNAcentral